This 364-nucleotide long non-coding RNA is filed under the name Equus asinus (donkey). Its description in RNAcentral is "lncRNA (ENSEASG00005034591.1)". The record is from RNAcentral. Lineage: Eukaryota; Metazoa; Chordata; Mammalia; Perissodactyla; Equidae.
GCUGCCACCCAACCCCGGGAGCCCAGCCAAGCGCUGUGUUUUUCCAGGUCCGCGCAGGGCCAGGGGAACCCUGCGUGUUUGUUUGGUGGGAAUGGAUUACUGGAAAGCUAGACGGAAGGUACCCUGUAAACCGGCAGAUCUCUUUAAUGUCUGACUGGAUCCCUUCUGCUUCUACAAUCAGUCUGUUGGGAUAUGUUGUUUUGGUUGAAAAUGUGAAGCCUCAUCCAAAUAUGUCGUUGGAAAAGCAUCCUCAGCCUGUCUUUAUUGACCUGGUUCCAUCGAUCUGUGACUUGGCUCCAUCUCACCUCUUCCAAAAAGCCUUCCUGGAUUAAACUUUACAUCAACCCCAUUUUGAUUUGGCUAA